AAGUGGCUAUGCAGUUCGAGAAGUCAAUCAUCCCCAGGGCCCAUAAGUAAAACCUCUAGGGGACUGUCUCUGAUAAGGCCGUGGUCUUAUUAUAUGGUUCCCACCUGCACAAGCAGGCCGUGAGGGAUACACUGUACUAGCGGCUGUUCGUGGCUACUUC
This 160-nucleotide non-coding RNA is filed under the name Alphaproteobacteria bacterium. RNAcentral's name for it is "6S RNA". It matches the Rfam family "6S / SsrS RNA". From Rfam's summary of the family: E. coli 6S RNA was the first non coding RNA to be sequenced, but its function was unknown until recently. It consists of 184 nucleotides that fold into an extended hairpin structure with a large single-stranded internal bulge. The record is from RNAcentral. Lineage: Bacteria; Pseudomonadati; Pseudomonadota; Alphaproteobacteria.